Gallus gallus (chicken) is the source of this 2108-nucleotide long non-coding RNA. The record is from Ensembl. NCBI's taxonomy places the organism in Eukaryota, Metazoa, Chordata, Aves, Galliformes, Phasianidae.
AUCUCUUGCUGGAGAUUCCUGCCUACCUGAGGCCCUCUGAAGCAAUGAAGGAGGGAUGUCCAUCCUGUUGAUGGGAACUGCAAAUAAAGGCUCGAGGCACCCACUCUCCUGCAGGCUUCAAAGGUCCAUGGGCCGUACAAACAGCAGGAAAAAAGCAGUUCCAGCUUAUGAACGCACCCGUAGUGCUGCUCCGUUGUUCUCCUUGAUUGAUGACAAGUGUUUUGGACAUCAAUAUUGCGGCUCCUCAGUUCUGCUAAUGUUGUGAAUAAGUACCCGCAGAAAACAAAACAGAGACCUAGUUGGGAACAGAUGCCCUAAUUCUAAUGGAGGAGCUUCCCACCAGCUCCUUUAGAGCCUGCUUCUUUAAAGCCUGCUUCUGAUGUGGGCUUGCUGCUCUCUCCGUAUGCUUUGCAGCUCCUCUGCACACCCCACAUCACAGACACACAUUUUUAAUUACCCCACCUUCCCUUCGUCCGGAUUGCUGCCACCCCUCAGCUACACUCUAUGAGGGUUUCAAGGAGCUGGUUUACGCAUGGGAUGUAUGCAUGGGAUGUCAGGCAUACCUUCCGAAGAUGCCCACCAUAUGGUGCUGGGCUCCAUCUCUGAGGGCUGUGUUGUUUCCUCCAUGCUGGUUUCAAAAGGCACCGUCUCCACUUAAGCAAAAUGUGGUUUUCCUUGGCAGUGGUGCAGCAGCUCUCAGCCUGAAAGCAGGGAGCUCUGCCACCGAGCAGACAAGACUUAUUUAUCCUCACAGUCCCCUCAUCGCAUGUGACGAUUGCCACGAUAAGACAGUCCUAUGCAAAUGGCCAUAAUUAUCUGCUAAAAGUACGUAUUAUUCAGUAACACAGCCACGAGAGAAGGCGUCACAUGGGUGCAGUUACAUCUGUGCAGGAAAGCAGUACGGAUUUAUUACUGAGCUGCCGUAGAGGAGGCUUCCAUUUAAACAGACGUAGUUACAACUCAUGUAACUAAGUUGUGUAGCACUGAGCCUGCAGCAGCAGGGCCUGCAGAGGGCUGGUGCUGCUCCACGCCAUGCCCAGCUGACCCUCAUUUACAAAUUACCUUAGGAUGUGCAGCUUCUUUGGCUCUGGGAAGUGGGCAUUCAUUGGUUCCAUAUAAAUAAAUCUCUACUGAACAAGUUGUAGCAUCUCACUCAGAGCAGAGAAAUGACAUUGAGUGAGCAAUAAACGUGGUGACCUGAGUGUGAUGUCUGUAUCAGGAUAAUAAGGGUUGUCCUCCUGCUGAAUGAAUGGCCUUGCCCUCUGGAGCCAAACUUUCGUUGUGUACGAAGACGUGGGGGAAUCCUAAUAAAGAGACGACUGGUAAAUGUUCAGUACGUUUAAUACUUCGCUCCCUCAUUUGGAGAACAAAGAGUCGCCUGUUUCAUACUUCUGCUUUGGACAAAAGCAGGGCACGGAAACGUGUAAUCUGCAUUUUCUGAAUAGUCGAGAUCUACAAAGAUGAUUUCAUGUCUCUCGCUCUGUUAUGUUGGCACGCUUCCAAAACCUGACCAAAAAAACCCCCAACAACCCUCAAGUUGUCUUCCCCCCCAGCCUAAUAUUCAUAACCAGAAUCAAAACCACAGGCAGUUCUGUCAUUCUGGCGAUGAAAUUUGACUAAUACCAGCACAGGACUCCCACCAUAGCAUGUAAAAUAUAGAUGGCUAUAAAAUUACUAUUGCUAUCUCCAGAGAGCUGCUCCGAUAAACUGAUGAAUAUGUAAACGUUUCUGACAUCCAAUGGGAAACUCAGCUGUAAGAGGAGAAUAAAAGGAUGGGAGUCUGAUUCUCCUCGGGAGCUGCUCCAGCUAAUGGGAUGAGGAACCUCCCACUGUGAGCCGUGUUGUUCCCAUCAUGUGGAACCACUCUGCCAGAUCCUUUCAUUUCGUAGCCUCAGAAAAUUAGCUGCAAAAUGGUUUUUCCUGAUGGUUUUGACAAUGAGAUGUGAUUUUCUUCAUUCUGUCAUGACCGGACCGGCAGACUUACUGUAAAUAAUUCAUGCAAAGCCAUAUAAUUUGUGACCGUACAUUUCUGAUCUGGAAAUGUGCACCUCUAACAUUGGGUACGUGCAUAAAUAUUCAUCCCGGUGCAUCCUGCUGGCCAGUCCUAG